UAUAUUUCUAUUUUUUAUUUUACUUGUAUGUGUAUAUUUAUAUAAUUAUGGCUUAUUGAAAUUAGUCUCUUGCUAUUUUUGCUACUUGAAUUUAAUAUUACCAUUUAUAUUUCUUGUUGUUAUUAUAUUUAUUCUGAUGUGUGAGCUGCUGUGUCCAAAUAAUUUUCCUUGUGGGUCAAUAAAGUUUGUCCAAGUCUAACCACUUAGAUUUAACAUGAUGAUGAGAAGAUGCUGUCACACGUCACAAGACUUGCUGUGGUUUCUGUUAAAGGUGCAUUGUGUAACUUUUUUGGUGGAAGGUCCGUGAAAUGUUUUUCCUCUAUGGAGAUGUUAUUGCUUUGUCUAAGGUGUUUCAAGGUAUGGUAAUAAGUAUUUCUAUCAUCGUGUAGCUCAAACCAGGCCAAGUUACAGGUCAGGUCUGUGGAGAGUAGGGUAAGCAGAUUUUCUAAAUUAAAAACUGGGACACACCUGGGAUGGGUUAGGAUGGUUGGUAUACAUAAAAUUAUGAAAAGAGCAUCCAUCGUACUGAUAAUCUGAGGGACCUCUGUUGAUGGAUUUAUUUAUUUAUUUAUUUAUAUUGUAUUUUAGGUUAACAAAUGACAAUAUAUUCUCCUCUUUACACACCUGGGACAUUUCUUGUGUAAAACUGAGACAAAUCAAUGGUUUUGGAUAAAUCUGAUGGGAGGACAUACACUGAAAAAACGGUCCGAGAGGGGUUGCUCAAAUUGCAAAAACAAAUUUGACAACAAUAACAUCACUUUUUUACGUUUCUCUGUCAAGCAUGUUUAAAUCUUACAAACAUCGCUUGAUUGUGGCCGAUGUGAGACCUGCAUGUUUUAAUCAGGUUGAGGAAACAUGACUUUAUUAUCAUUUCUGGUGAGGCUCCUCCCUCUGGAAUUCUCCUCCCCAAAACUUUUGGAGGGAAAAUUCAAAUGUAGCAGGACACAGGAGAGUUCCAGGAGCAGAAGACACACAGUGUGGAGCAGGAGGAUUAUGAGAACUGAUCUGGAGAGUCGUCUACAAACAAAGAGUGAUGUCCAGAGCUCUGCUGGAGCUGUGGGGAAGUUCAUGAAUGUUACAGCUGAUGUUUCAGAAAAAAGGAAGAUGUUUGAGAACCAACAAAACACAGACCACAGAUGAACAAAGUGAUGUGGCAUUAGGAGGACUUUAUACCAGAUGCCCUCCCUGUUACUGUGUUUAGAGGAAGAAAAGCAGCACAUGG
This is a long non-coding RNA of Boleophthalmus pectinirostris (great blue-spotted mudskipper), 1222 nucleotides long. RefSeq lists it as uncharacterized. The transcript has 3 exons. NCBI's taxonomy places the organism in Eukaryota, Metazoa, Chordata, Actinopteri, Gobiiformes, Gobiidae. The record is from RefSeq and is a predicted model, not a curated record.